GACGAACGCUGGCGGCGUGCCUAAUACAUGCAAGUAGAACGCUGAAGAGAGGAGCUUGCUCUUCUUGGAUGAGUUGCGAACGGGUGAGUAACGCGUAGGUAACCUGCCUUGUAGCGGGGGAUAACUAUUGGAAACGAUAGCUAAUACCGCAUAACAAUGGAUGACACAUGUCAUUUAUUUGAAAGGGGCAAUUGCUCCACUACAAGAUGGACCUGCGUUGUAUUAGCUAGUAGGUGAGGUAAUGGCUCACCUAGGCGACGAUACAUAGCCGACCUGAGAGGGUGAUCGGCCACACUGGGACUGAGACACGGCCCAGACUCCUACGGGAGGCAGCAGUAGGGAAUCUUCGGCAAUGGGGGCAACGCUGACCGAGCAACGCCGCGUGAGUGAAGAAGGGUUUCGGAUCGUAAAGCUCUGUUGUAAGUCAAGAACGGGUGUGAGAGUGGAAAGUUCACACUGUGACGGUAGCUUACCAGAAAGGGGCGGCUAACUACGUG
RNAcentral lists this ribosomal RNA (497 nucleotides) under uncultured bacterium. Its description in RNAcentral is "partial 16S ribosomal RNA". It matches the Rfam family "Bacterial small subunit ribosomal RNA", at positions 28 to 507 of the family's 1533-position model. The record is from RNAcentral.